GGUUAAGCGACUAAGCGUACACGGUGGAUGCCCUGGCAGUCAGAGGCGAUGAAGGACGUGCUAAUCUGCGAUAAGCGUCGGUAAGGUGAUAUGAACCGUUAUAACCGGCGAUUUCCGAAUGGGGAAACCCAGUGUGAUUCGUCACACUAUCAUUAACUGAAUCCAUAGGUUAAUGAGGCGAACCGGGGGAACUGAAACAUCUAAGUACCCCGAGGAAAAGAAAUCAACCGAGAUUCCCCCAGUAGCGGCGAGCGAACGGGGAGGAGCCCAGAGCCUGAAUCAGUGUGUGUGUUAGUGGAAGCGUCUGGAAAGGCGCGCGAUACAGGGUGACAGCCCCGUACACAAAAAUGCACAUAUUGUGAGCUCGAUGAGUAGGGCGGGACACGUGGUAUCCUGUCUGAAUAUGGGGGGACCAUCCUCCAAGGCUAAAUACUCCUGACUGACCGAUAGUGAACCAGUACCGUGAGGGAAAGGCGAAAAGAACCCCGGCGAGGGGAGUGAAAAAGAACCUGAAACCGUGUACGUACAAGCAGUGGGAGCACGCUUAGGCGUGUGACUGCGUACCUUUUGUAUAAUGGGUCAGCGACUUAUAUUCUGUAGCAAGGUUAACCGAAUAGGGGAGCCGAAGGGAAACCGAGUCUUAACUGGGCGUUAAGUUGCAGGGUAUAGACCCGAAACCCGGUGAUCUAGCCAUGGGCAGGUUGAAGGUUGGGUAACACUAACUGGAGGACCGAACCGACUAAUGUUGAAAAAUUAGCGGAUGACUUGUGGCUGGGGGUGAAAGGCCAAUCAAACCGGGAGAUAGCUGGUUCUCCCCGAAAGCUAUUUAGGUAGCGCCUCGUGAAUUCAUCUCCGGGGGUAGAGCACUGUUUCGGCAAGGGGGUCAUCCCGACUUACCAACCCGAUGCAAACUGCGAAUACCGGAGAAUGUUAUCACGGGAGACACACGGCGGGUGCUAACGUCCGUCGUGAAGAGGGAAACAACCCAGACCGCCAGCUAAGGUCCCAAAGUCAUGGUUAAGUGGGAAACGAUGUGGGAAGGCCCAGACAGCCAGGAUGUUGGCUUAGAAGCAGCCAUCAUUUAAAGAAAGCGUAAUAGCUCACUGGUCGAGUCGGCCUGCGCGGAAGAUGUAACGGGGCUAAACCAUGCACCGAAGCUGCGGCAGCGACGCUUAUGCGUUGUUGGGUAGGGGAGCGUUCUGUAAGCCUGUGAAGGUGUGCUGUGAGGCAUGCUGGAGGUAUCAGAAGUGCGAAUGCUGACAUAAGUAACGAUAAAGCGGGUGAAAAGCCCGCUCGCCGGAAGACCAAGGGUUCCUGUCCAACGUUAAUCGGGGCAGGGUGAGUCGACCCCUAAGGCGAGGCCGAAAGGCGUAGUCGAUGGGAAACAGGUUAAUAUUCCUGUACUUGGUGUUACUGCGAAGGGGGGACGGAGAAGGCUAUGUUGGCCGGGCGACGGUUGUCCCGGUUUAAGCGUGUAGGCUGGUUUUCCAGGCAAAUCCGGAAAAUCAAGGCUGAGGCGUGAUGACGAGGCACUACGGUGCUGAAGCAACAAAUGCCCUGCUUCCAGGAAAAGCCUCUAAGCAUCAGGUAACAUCAAAUCGUACCCCAAACCGACACAGGUGGUCAGGUAGAGAAUACCAAGGCGCUUGAGAGAACUCGGGUGAAGGAACUAGGCAAAAUGGUGCCGUAACUUCGGGAGAAGGCACGCUGAUAUGUAGGUGAAGUCCCUCGCGGAUGGAGCUGAAAUCAGUCGAAGAUACCAGCUGGCUGCAACUGUUUAUUAAAAACACAGCACUGUGCAAACACGAAAGUGGACGUAUACGGUGUGACGCCUGCCCGGUGCCGGAAGGUUAAUUGAUGGGGUUAGCGCAAGCGAAGCUCUUGAUCGAAGCCCCGGUAAACGGCGGCCGUAACUAUAACGGUCCUAAGGUAGCGAAAUUCCUUGUCGGGUAAGUUCCGACCUGCACGAAUGGCGUAAUGAUGGCCAGGCUGUCUCCACCCGAGACUCAGUGAAAUUGAACUCGCUGUGAAGAUGCAGUGUACCCGCGGCAAGACGGAAAGACCCCGUGAACCUUUACUAUAGCUUGACACUGAACAUUGAGCCUUGAUGUGUAGGAUAGGUGGGAGGCUUUGAAGUGUGGACGCCAGUCUGCAUGGAGCCGACCUUGAAAUACCACCCUUUAAUGUUUGAUGUUCUAACGUUGACCCGUAAUCCGGGUUGCGGACAGUGUCUGGUGGGUAGUUUGACUGGGGCGGUCUCCUCCUAAAGAGUAACGGAGGAGCACGAAGGUUGGCUAAUCCUGGUCGGACAUCAGGAGGUUAGUGCAAUGGCAUAAGCCAGCUUGACUGCGAGCGUGACGGCGCGAGCAGGUGCGAAAGCAGGUCAUAGUGAUCCGGUGGUUCUGAAUGGAAGGGCCAUCGCUCAACGGAUAAAAGGUACUCCGGGGAUAACAGGCUGAUACCGCCCAAGAGUUCAUAUCGACGGCGGUGUUUGGCACCUCGAUGUCGGCUCAUCACAUCCUGGGGCUGAAGUAGGUCCCAAGGGUAUGGCUGUUCGCCAUUUAAAGUGGUACGCGAGCUGGGUUUAGAACGUCGUGAGACAGUUCGGUCCCUAUCUGCCGUGGGCGCUGGAGAACUGAGGGGGGCUGCUCCUAGUACGAGAGGACCGGAGUGGACGCAUCACUGGUGUUCGGGUUGUCAUGCCAAUGGCACUGCCCGGUAGCUAAAUGCGGAAGAGAUAAGUGCUGAAAGCAUCUAAGCACGAAACUUGCCCCGAGAUGAGUUCUCCCUGACUCCUUGAGAGUCCUGAAGGAACGUUGAAGACGACGACGUUGAUAGGCCGGGUGUGUAAGCGCAGCGAUGCGUUGAGCUAACCGGUACUAAUGAACCGUGAGGCUUAACCUU
Molecule: ribosomal RNA, 2904 nt
Filed under: Escherichia coli
Lineage: Bacteria; Pseudomonadati; Pseudomonadota; Gammaproteobacteria; Enterobacterales; Enterobacteriaceae
Description: 23S ribosomal RNA
Rfam family: Bacterial large subunit ribosomal RNA
Source: RNAcentral